This is a long non-coding RNA of Papaver somniferum (opium poppy), 3631 nucleotides long. RefSeq lists it as uncharacterized. The transcript has 13 exons. NCBI's taxonomy places the organism in Eukaryota, Viridiplantae, Streptophyta, Magnoliopsida, Ranunculales, Papaveraceae. The record is from RefSeq and is a predicted model, not a curated record.
CAUCAUCUGUCAGGCUUACUCUGCAACUUUGGGAAAACAACUGUGUAAAAUGCUCUCAGUCAUUGCAAUUUGGGAAGAAACAAUUUUUACCCAGAGUACAUUGGUAAAUACCAAACAAGAGUAAGAUAGUAAAGGUUGGGUGUAAAUAACAAGAAACCCUUGAGGUGUAAAGGGGACUAUUCCCACAAUUCAAUCCAUUUUGAGGUGAAAACCCUAGACUUAAGAAACUCAAAGUUCUGAGAGGAUAAGCAGCUGCACUGGCGGCAGCAAGGCUUUAAGAUAUGGAAGAAUCUGGUGAUACGGAAAUUGUUAAAUCGAACUUGUUACUGAAUACUCCGGUAAUUCAGAAGAAGAAGAAAAAAAGGGAAAAAGAAAAUCGAAAUGCAAAUAAUCUGUAUGUGCUGAUUUGGAAUUACUGGAUGAUCUCGGGAGGAUUUUGUGGUUUCUACGUGGUCUUCUUUUACUUGUACUCAUUCAAAUCAAGAUAGACCGAUAGACUUGAAUUAUUCCAUGGACCUUCAGAUAACAUCAUCCUCAAUCACCAAAAGAAUGUUUGUAACGCGUAUUGGUACCUCUCGAUUCUUGGAUAGUCCGGGAGAUCAAUGAUUUUUAGACAAGAUCCUGAUUCUAUUAAAACCGGUAUUAAGAUUCCCAAAGGGUUCUCAGAUUGGGUCUUGGUUGAAAAAGGAAAAUUGUGAAAAGUGUUGCGUCUGUCCCGAAGGUCUUGAUAAUUACUCCCAAUACACUAAGCAUACAGAUGAUUAUCAAAAAGAAUCAGCAGCUUAACACUCAGACCGACAGAAAUAGAGCAGAAGUUGAGGCGAUACUUACAAAAGCUCAGGCGGAAGUUUUAGCGAUUCAGGCCAUGACAUCGCUAUACUCUCCACGAUACAAAUGAAAUUUGUCUUGCAGAUAAACCCAAACGCGUUAACCGACAGGAGUGGAGGGAUUUUGUGAAAUUUUUGACUAGUGAAGAGCAUCAGGUAAUUUCCGGUCUCAAUAUCAAGAGUAGAGGCAUCAAAAUGCCAAGCACACGAUGGGGGAGGAAAAACUCUUCUUGAUGCAAAUCUGAAAUGGUUAUCUCUUUAACUACGCAAUCCCGUGCUUUCAGAUCUUAGUUCGACAUUGAACGGGACAGUCUUGCAUCUCUGUCAGAUCUAGAGAAAUCAGAAAUUCUGCCUAAUAAGGAGAACAUGUUGCAGUUUCUGGAAAUGGGUGUUUCCACACCGAUGAGGUUUCAGCAGCCAUCGACUCAAAUGUUGUGUAUCUCGAUGCAAGUCUGAAAUGGUUGUGAUCAUUUUGAGACUUGUAUAUCACAUUUCACAUCCACCUCAUUAAACUGUGUCAUAGGCUGCCCGCCCUUAUUGGCUGGCUACAUGACUACAAGUAAAUACUGAAGCAACAGCACAGGUGGAAGAUAUUAAGAAAGGGAAGGUUACACUGUGAACCCUAUCUCUACAUACUAAAUGCUAUUGUUGAAGGUCAUAGCAAGCUUUUUUUUCUUUUGAGGAUGAAAACCUUGCAUGUAGUAGUUGAUGGCAAAUCUUGGGUUAAUUAUCUGUAGUUUUUUUGUAAGAAAAAUGGCAUCAGGAUGAAAAAUUAAGAUUUACUAUCUCAACUUGGUUUUGUCUUCUUCCUGUGAAACCAUCGCUCUUGCCAAAGAAAAAGUACAAGCACCGAUAAUCCUGUGGGAAACAUUUAUUAGUGGGGUUAAUGAUGCUAAGAAAAAGUUCUCUGGAAUAAUGUCGCGGACUUUCCUUUUUCAGAAAACCACCAACAGGAGCAAGGGUUACGACAUAGAAGGAGCUGAUCUAACAGAAAUUGUUCAAAUAUAAGUUGUUGUUUUUAAACACUCGGGUAAUACAGAAGAUGAAGAUCAAGAAGAAAAUGCAUGAUUUAUGUUUGAUUUUCGGCAUAGGCGGACUGGGAAAUACUGGUUUCACCUCACAAGUUGGAAGUGAACCUUUAAGAUUUUGUGGUUUUGGUGAAGAAAGUCUUCACUCAGUGGUUUGCGGUGUUUGCCUCUCUCAAGCCUAGAAGUUGCUGAUUUCAAAAUCCAAAUGGACAUCAUCUCCUUGCUGGUUACCAUUGAGGAGAAUAAGAAGUGGAUGUGGGCGGACUUCAGGACUUGAUGAACGCUAUAAAAAGCUACCUUGUCUAUUGCCUGUGAAUAUAUAGGCUCAAGAAAACUAAAUGGAAAUUACAUCACGAUACAAACGAAAUGUGUCUGGCAGAUAUGCGUUAACUGACAGGGAUUCGAAGGAUCUUGUGAAAUUUUGGAUCACGAAGCAUCAGGUAUUUUCCAAUCGCAAUAACAAAAGCUGAAGGCAUUAACAGCAGGUGCACAAUGGGGAGAAAAAACUUUUCUCAAUGCCAAUCUGAAAUGGUACUUACGUGCAUAUGUUGGUCUUUAUAGUCGCUUUUCAUUCCUGCAACUUGGAAGCUAUUCCAGGUUGCCAUGAGAGUCAAUGAUAUCAUUACUUCUGGAGCUAAGCCUGUAUUUUUCCUCGAUAACUAUGUUACAAGCCAUCUCGAUGUUGAAUUGACUGAAAAGGUCAUAGAAGGCAUUGUUGAUGGAUGCACGCAAUCUGACUGCGUUCUUUUUGGAGGAGAGAAAUAUUGAAUAGCUACCGGCACUCGUGCAGCACCCAUUUCUUAGGCUUCUGAGAACAUGCUAUUCUAAUCUUAUGAAGUGUCUGAGUAACAAUUUUUAUGAAGAAGAAGCCGAUUCCUGUGAAAAACUGUUGCAUUCCCAUGUGCUAUAUGUACAAUACUGUGGUGCCUCUGGUCUGAUGCAAACGCGCUAAUUCUUGGUGCAGGAUACAUGUGAUUAGAGUAUGAACAAGUAGACUAUUGAGUCUGUGCAUAGUUUGUCUCUGAUGUGCCUGCAAUAAGGGUAACAGGAAAAAUCAAUACCUUACUAGGAUGGGAUGUCUGAGGGAUUUUUUAUUCUUGGUGUUUCCGCUGGCCGCUUGUAAGAUUAGUGAAGCCUGAACUUCACUAGCUAAAAAAAUAGUAAGAUUCUACCUGGGGUUCACUAUAUUUCUUAACUCAAGUAGAAUCUUACUGGGUUCUGCACGUCUUUGAUGUAGACGGAAAGCUCUUGUUGCAGCGUUGCAGUGUUUAGAAGAAGAAAAAAAAGAACAUUUUUCUUUUUGUUUGCCAAGUGACUGUAACAUUCUGGUUCAUGUACUGAAACAAUUGAACAGUAAAGGCUGUGGAAAUGGGUUUGAGUUGCCUGUGUUCAAAGUCACUGGUGGUAUAGUCAUAGUUGGUUAUUAGGCUUUGUCAGUCAGUUAUCAUGUAUGUAAUAUCUAUGUAUUAUGUUAAUUAGGGUUGUUAAUGGGCUGAAGUGUCUUUGGACAAUGACAGAGAUCUCCACCGGCCACAAAUUACCGCUAAAACAUGAUCCAAUUUGAGGCAUGUAGGUUCUACUCAUUUUGAGACACAGGUAGUUUUGAAAACUCAGCAACUUUUGUAUUUAAACAGUGAGUGAUAGCACAGGUGGGAGAUAUAUAGGAAGAAAGUUUCAAAUUGAAGUUCAUAAUGCUAAGGUUGUUACUUGUGGAUCGAUUUUGGAGCUUAUUUUUGGAAUUGAGAAAUGUGAACUGAUUUGAUAGCAGUUUGUUUU